This 338-nucleotide long non-coding RNA is filed under the name Monodelphis domestica (gray short-tailed opossum). RNAcentral's name for it is "lncRNA (ENSMODG00000030172.2)". Lineage: Eukaryota; Metazoa; Chordata; Mammalia; Didelphimorphia; Didelphidae. The record is from RNAcentral.
CAAGUUUUUAAGUUUCAUGUGUGUUAUUUUAAAUUAUUUUUUUUUAAAGAAUAGAUCCUAGAGAGUGUAAAGGCAGUCACAGAAGAUAACUAAACUGAAGGGGACCAGGAAUAUUAGCAUUCAAUGGGUUUAAUUCCAAUGGAACCUAGGUUUUCCAGGGGAAGAGAGGACAGGAAGAAUGGAGGGAUGCUAAGGAAUAGUGCUGUUCCCUUCAUCAUCAAAAAACAAGGGAAAUGCUGAGGACCCCAAGUAUCCUGGAGCCCCUAUUAGUGUGGUAGCAUGGCUAGCUUACCUGAGUUUUAAAUAAAUGCAUUAGAUUGAUUACUGCUCUUUAUGUG